Molecule: non-coding RNA, 142 nt
Organism: Solanum lycopersicum (tomato)
Lineage: Eukaryota; Viridiplantae; Streptophyta; Magnoliopsida; Solanales; Solanaceae
Source: Rfam
UAAUUUGUCGAUGCAGCAUCAUCAAGAUUCUCAUUUUUGAAAAAAAAUAAUAAUAUGGAAUUUAGAAGCAACUUGAUUUUUUUUCCUACUCCAUAUUAUUUCUAUUUUAUGUGAAUCUUGAUGAUGCUGCAGCUGCAAAUAA